This 253-nucleotide ribosomal RNA is filed under the name uncultured bacterium. RNAcentral describes it as "partial 16S ribosomal RNA". It matches the Rfam family "Bacterial small subunit ribosomal RNA", at positions 524 to 776 of the family's 1533-position model. The record is from RNAcentral.
UACGGAGGGGGCUAGCGUUGUUCGGAAUUACUGGGCGUAAAGCGCGUGUAGGCGGCUAUGCAAGUCGGGCGUGAAAUCCCACGGCUCAACCGUGGAAGUGCACCCGAAACUGCGUAGCUAGAGUCCUGGAGAGGAAGGUGGAAUGCUUGGUGUAGAGGUGAAAUUCGUAGAUAUCAAGCGGAACACCGGUGGCGAAGGCGGCCUUCUGGACAGUGACUGACGCUGAGACGCGAAAGCGUGGGGAGCAAACAGG